This 304-nucleotide ribosomal RNA is filed under the name uncultured bacterium. RNAcentral describes it as "partial 16S ribosomal RNA". It matches the Rfam family "Bacterial small subunit ribosomal RNA", at positions 506 to 807 of the family's 1533-position model. The record is from RNAcentral.
CAGCAGUAGCCGCGGGAAUACGGAGGGUGCAAGCGUUAUCCGGAUUUAUUGGGUUUAAAGGGUCCGUAGGCGGAUCUGUAAGUCAGUGGUGAAAUCUCACAGCUUAACUGUGAAACUGCCAUUGAUACUGCAGGUCUUGAGUAAAUUUGAAGUGGCUGGAAUAAGUAGUGUAGCGGUGAAAUGCAUAGAUAUUACUUAGAACACCAAUUGCGAAGGCAGGUCACUAAGAUUUAACUGACGCUGAUGGACGAAAGCGUGGGGAGCGAACAGGAUUAGAUACCCGUGUAGUCCCUGUCUCUUAUAC